GACUGUUUCUCUCAGUUUGGAAAUUUUCAGGAAUGUUCUACUACAUUUCUCACUACUAAGAGAUUCCUCUGGUACCUGUAUACUCUUCUCUUGACCCCGGGCUAUGUGACACACACGUCAAGAUCUCCAAAUGGUUAGAUUGAAUCCGUCUUAUUUGACUUCAGUGAAGGAGAAAGUACCUUCCAUGCUUGUCUGCAUCGUUGAGAGCAGAGAAGGAACAAGUGCUAUAACCAUUCAGCAACUCUAUCAAAACAAAAUUACUUUUCUUAGCAUCUUUA
Long non-coding RNA from Tupaia belangeri chinensis (Chinese tree shrew), 278 nucleotides. RefSeq lists it as uncharacterized. Lineage: Eukaryota; Metazoa; Chordata; Mammalia; Scandentia; Tupaiidae. The record is from RefSeq and is a predicted model, not a curated record. The transcript is spliced from 3 exons.